AAGGCCACGUUUUUUUAGGUGCACUCCCUUCUUGCCAAACAUCGAAAACCAUAAGCCGUAAAUAAUAGUGAGCGAACUCGAUCUUUUAUUACGUUCGAAUUGCCUCAACCUUCCCCAUCCCGAACACCCGGAAGCUCCUCGGACGGCCUCUCUCAGCUUCGCAUCUCGCCACUUAUGGACGGUGGCCCGCUACCGAGCAUUUCCACCUCCGGCCCCGCCCGCCGGCCGAAGCCGACUCAGGAGGCUCCCGACGCGGCCUUGCUCUGCUCAGCAUCCCGCCGGAGACGUGGAGGCGGCGGUCCGCUCUCCGGCAAUACCCGGAGGCGCACUCAGGGGGCGCCAACGUAUAAUGCUCCCGGCUGUGUGAGGCGAGUCAGCCCCCCCCCCCACACACACCUUCCUUUUUUUUUUUUUUUUUAAUACCUUGAUGUCAAGUGCAUGAUUCAUAAGCACUUUUAAAGGCAGGAAUAUGAUGACAAAUUGAUGAUGGUAUUAAAGUGUAAUCACACACUUUUUUAGCUCAAUAAUUUCCACUCAAGAUCCUCUUGAGGCGACUAAUGAUACAAUUUGAAGAUGUCUCGUCCUUUUAGGUGUUUGCCCUUGUGUUCCAUCAUAAAUCCAUCAGAUCAAUGGCGGGGCCGCAUAAACAAAUAAGACCUUCAUCUUUUGGGAUUAUUCUAAAUAAAUCAAAACGGCCAAACAAACAGAAUGCUCCCGAAAGCGGCUCGUGUGGUUUUAAUUAUAUGUAGACCCCCCCCCC
Molecule: long non-coding RNA, 760 nt
Organism: Hippocampus zosterae (dwarf seahorse)
Lineage: Eukaryota; Metazoa; Chordata; Actinopteri; Syngnathiformes; Syngnathidae
Exons: 2
Source: RefSeq, a predicted model, not a curated record